This 69-nucleotide transfer RNA is filed under the name Toxotes chatareus (largescale archerfish). RNAcentral describes it as "tRNA-Ser(AGY)". Lineage: Eukaryota; Metazoa; Chordata; Actinopteri; Toxotidae. The record is from RNAcentral.
GAGAGAGGCCGGGUAGGCACCGAAGACUGCUAAUUUUCGCUACCUUGGUUAAACUCCGAGGCUCACUCG